CCGGCCGUCAAUGACCGACAGCUCUUUGACCUUGCGGGAAGCCAGGUAGAUGUCCUCGGUGGAGCCCAGCUCUUUCUGCAACCAACAAGUCAAGUGGACGGUUGAGAAUCAACUCCCACUCCUACUGCCCAACCCAGAGGCCUUCCUCAGGCUUAUGCUGAGAAGCUGGUUGCAAACCCCCAGAGGGAACAGUUACUGACUCCUAGGGACUUCAGGUACAGCCCAAGGUGCCCAGGUAAAGAGCAUCCACAAGUUCAGAGGUAUGGAAACUGAGGCAGAACUCUCUCCUCUGAGUCCCAGCAGGCAGAUUCCAGAGAAACCAUUGAUCCCGCCCCACUCCUUCUCUUGGGCCCCUAGUGAGGUAGACAGGAGGCUGUCUAGUGUGUUGUUCUUCCUCUGGGAGGUCCCUCUUGCACAGCUUCAGGGGCCACCUUGCAUGGUUAUGUUUGUGAAUUGUGUAGUGCCUACCCUGUGUGUCCUUACAGGAAAGGCUCUCCUUUGGCCUGCUGUGUAAGACAGUAGACCUAGAAGCCUUCUCCUCAUUCCAGGAGACAUUGACCUCCACUGCUGCCAGGGGUCUAUUUGAUUACCUCCCUCUGCUACAUUUCCUCUUUCUCUUUGGGGGGUCCUCUCCCAUACCACCCUGUAUGAAUGGGGGAUAAGGUAGAAGGUGGAAUGGACAAGUCCUCUCUGUCUGGCCCAGUACAGAGCAGCAGCCCGGGACAGCAGUUAACAGUUGGAGUGGUCAGAGCCCCGAGAGUAACUCACCUGCUGAGAAGGAUUAGUUAUCAGCUCCUAGGCGGCAGCCACAGCCAACAGAGAAUUAAACAUGCACAACAUUAGCCAAGACAUUUGGGGACCCAGAAAUAGCAUGACAGACAGGGGGAUCCCUCAGCAUCUACACUGUCCACUUUGUCCCAGUGAGACCCAUGGUUGGAGACAGGCACCCGUAAGCGGCACUAGACAGGAGCUGCUUCUAGCAGACACGCACUCUGAGAAGCCAAACAAAGCGGAGAUCAGGCAGCUCCUCCCCUCUGCCCAGUGGGACCACCACUCCCCAGUCAGCACAGACCAAACCCCUGAGUUCUCCCACCCCAGGCUUUGCUGCCUGUUCUUCCUUUUCCUCUGCUGAAAAUGUGCAGAGAGGGUAGAGGACAUUCCUCCAUCCUGGGAUGAGUUCACCUUUCUAAAUAGGGGAGGAGUCACAAAUGAACUCUAUCUGGAAGCUCCAGAAAGUUGUGUUUAUUGAGGCAGAGGAAAGCAGGUGUCCUUGAAUUUGCUCACUGUCCCUCAUCUGUCCUUUGAUGUACAAUGGGAACUGAAGAGGCACAGCCCACACCUCUGUUCUCCCUGACACUGAUGGAGUGGAAGCUACCAACUCAAAACCCGCAUGGGGCAUAGAGAAGACCAUGACUCCCAGGACCUCCCCCGCCCCACAACCAGCUGUGAGAGGAGGAAACAAGGUCCAGAAUCCGAAAUACCUGCAUGUCAUCAAUCUCAUUCCAUACGGUGCCAGGGACACGCUCCUAAGAGUCAGGCCCACCCCCAGCUUCUAGCAUCUGCCAGAAGGACUGGAGGCUCUUCGAGGAGGUAUAACUGAGGUCCGGAACCAGAAAGUGGUUGUUCCUAACAUUCCCUACAUGUUGACACUCACCACGUUGCCCUGAUGUGCCCACCUUGCAUAAUUCUCGAAUUUGAUUUUCUCACCACUCUGGCCAACAGCCCAUCAUCUCUAGUCUAGACUCCUGGGACUUCUGCCCGCUGGAGAUAUCCUUCACAUGCCAGGGAAAGCCUUCUCAAAAGCAUGUUUCGUUAUGUUUCCCCCGUGGUGCACUGCCUUUGGGGUCAGGCAGGCCUAGCCUGCUGACGCUCCCAGCCCUACCAUUUUGUGGGACUGUGGGAAGAUGGAGGGAUGAGAUUUUUCUCCCAUGUUACAUAAAAGGAAACUGAGUCUCCAUGAUUUUUUUUACCUCACCAAGUUGAUGUGAGAAUUAAGUGAGAUAACAUACUUCCAACAUACAUGGUAGGGCCACUAAUAAUAACCUUUUAU
Long non-coding RNA from Rhinopithecus roxellana (golden snub-nosed monkey), 2050 nucleotides. RefSeq lists it as uncharacterized. The record is from RefSeq and is a predicted model, not a curated record. NCBI's taxonomy places the organism in Eukaryota, Metazoa, Chordata, Mammalia, Primates, Cercopithecidae. The transcript is spliced from 4 exons.